Molecule: transfer RNA, 63 nt
Filed under: Oceanobacillus caeni
Lineage: Bacteria; Bacillati; Bacillota; Bacilli; Caryophanales; Bacillaceae
Also listed under: 1 other name
Rfam family: tRNA
About the family: Transfer RNA (tRNA) molecules are approximately 80 nucleotides in length.
Source: RNAcentral
AUUAGCUCAGUCGGUAGAGCAUCUGACUUUUAAUCAGAGGGUCGAAGGUUCGAAUCCUUCAUG